Long non-coding RNA from Scatophagus argus, 531 nucleotides. RefSeq lists it as uncharacterized. The record is from RefSeq and is a predicted model, not a curated record. The transcript is spliced from 4 exons. NCBI's taxonomy places the organism in Eukaryota, Metazoa, Chordata, Actinopteri, Scatophagidae.
CAAACGAUGAUAGGUAAGGUAUCUCAAGCACUAGGGUGCGGCAGAGCCAGGGAGUGUCUUCAGUGCGAUCCUUUAUUUAAGCCCUCUCACUGCCUUUGCCUCACUGUGUGGACUCAUCCUUCGAAUCCAGACAGCAUCUGGGAGCCAACCAUACCUGUGUCCAGAUCUCUACACUCUAAAAUUUGAAAUGGAAUUUACUGCUUUGGAAAUAUCUGUGGCUGCCAUGUUUGGUGCCUUUGAGAUGAAUAAAGGUCAAGAUGGAAAACUGUCCAAACAACAGUUUUUGAGUUUACUGAAGCAGGAGCUGCCUCAUUUUGGUGGGGAAUCCAACGGAGAGGAUGUUUUCAACGCAGUGGACGUAAAUCAGGAUGGCUCUGUGGAGUUCAAGGAGUUUGCCUUGAUGGUCGCCACAUAUGCCUGCGCUAGCUAUGAUGUCCUCCAAGAGGCCGCCAAAAAUGCCUCUUAAAAGGCAUAGAUCUGUACUGCAUGUAUAAAAGCACUAUCGAUGGAAAAUAAAAAUAUUACAAUGUG